Molecule: long non-coding RNA, 1075 nt
Organism: Harpia harpyja (harpy eagle)
Lineage: Eukaryota; Metazoa; Chordata; Aves; Accipitriformes; Accipitridae
Exons: 2
Source: RefSeq, a predicted model, not a curated record
CGUUAGCAGCAGCGCGGGGAAAGAGCGGCGCCUGCGGAAGCCCCGGGGGAAGGAGGGGCUCCGGCCAGGGGCGGGCUGCGGUCGUAGGGGUCGGCGCUUCUUCUUUCCCUCCCCCUGAGGCCGCCCUGAGGAUGCGGUUGUCCGUUCCUCGCCUGGGGAUGCCAUUGACUGCACCUGCCUCAGGCUCGUGUGGGCUCUCUGCCAGGUCUCCCUCUCCUCGCGGCGUGGGAGCGAAGAGGGACAGGCGGAGCGCUUACUGGCUGUGGACAGGAGCUGCUGCAGCCGAAGCUGGAGAGGCCAGAGAAGGGUAAAGCUGCUGAAGAAUAAAAUAAAGGGGAUCCAGCCAGCAGCUGCAGACGGGAGACAGCCUGCCUCUCCAGGUGAGGAAGGAUCUCUCUCAGUGUAGUCCUCAGCAGAUCUGAUCACCAGUGUGCACGGCAGGGUCUGUACGCGUAACCAAAAGCACAGUAUGGCCACUUAGCGUGUGCGCAUGUGAGGCCGUGUGUCUAGGAAGCCUCAUAUCAUACGAGCUGUAAGACACCAAUCUAUUCUCUUGGGUGGAUGACAGCCAAGUGACUGGAGCUACAGAGGAGGAAGGGAGAGGGAGAGGGAGAGAGAGAGAGAGACGCGUCUGAACUGUCAAAUUCUCCCAGCAGCUCCAAGAGCAGGAGCCUGUGGAGGUCCAUGGCAGAGUAGAUAUGCACCCUGCAGCCAAUGGAGGACCCCACGCCAGAGCAGGCAGAUGCACCCAAAGGAGGCUGUGAUGCUGUGGAGAGGAGCCCACACUGGAGCAGGUUUUCUCGCAGGACCUGCGGCCCCACGGGAGGGACCCCACACUGGAACAGAAGAAGAGCGUGAAAGAGAAGGAAGCAGCAGAGACAACUUGUGAUGAACUGACUGCAACUCCUGCUACCUCUCCCCCUAUGCUGCUCAGCGGGAGGAGGUAGAGAAGUCAGGAGUGAAGACAAGCCCAGGAAAAAAAGAGAGGGGUGGGGGGAAGGUGUUCUUUAGAUUUGUUCCUAUUUCUCAUUAUCCUACUCUGAUUUUCACUGACAAUAAAUUAAUUUCCCCAAGU